AGCGGUGCCGGGUGUGCCCGUGUUGCGUCUCAGACAAUAACUAACUGGGGGCGGGGCGUUGCAUUUGUGGGUGUUUAUCGCUGGAGACCUUGUUGGUAACUUGGACACCAGUCAAACGCCUUCCCACUGGCCGGGACCACACGGGAGCCGCUGUGCGUGCUUGAUUGACGGUGAUUUUACCCAGCUGAGCUAGUUUCUGGGGUUCGCGCUUCCCCUGCGGGUGACGCGGGUGGGUGAGAGGAGCCGCCCCCGGCGCUGAGGAGAACGGAACUACGCGCACCUCGGCGGUUUUUGUUUUUGCACUGAAUGUAGCCAGGACGGAUCCUUGUGGGCUUUAGCAGCCCUAGGAAACUGUCAAAGGCACUAUUUUGCAUUUCUGCAGUUUUGCACAGAUUCUGUUCCCAUGCAAACCGAUGAGGGAGAAAUACUGGAGGAAGGCAGUCCCAAGGCUUUUGGGAACGCAUGAGGAGGCUGACUUGUGUGUGAGAAAUAUCAGAAAUGGGAAAAACACAUUAGCAUAUCUAGGCCCUCUUCCCAUCAUACAUUGGGCUAUAUUGUUUGCUAAAAUAGUGCUUUGUCUCAUUUCAUUUUAAAUGAUUGUAGGUAUGAGCCUUUCUUCCCUUCCAUUAGGAGACAUUUUUUUAAAAUUCAGUUGAUAUUUGAUUUAACUUUUCCUCUCAAUUUCAAUCUGCUGUUAUCUCAGUUGUAUCAUCUUGUACACAUUAAACUUUUCUGUGGUAUUUAUAAAUAUUUGGAUAACUAUUUUCUCUGAUUUCAAUUUUGUAUUCUAGGUGAACCAUGCAUGUUGUUUAGUUACAUGUAUGCAGGUAUAAAGGAACAAUUUUUAAAUUUAUAAGAAAAAAGUAAUUUCAAAGAACAAUAAGUGUGUCCUGGGGGAAACAAAGUGGAUUAUAUAUGGCUCUUUGUUCUGUGGAUGUUAACGGCUAGUCGGCUAAUGGUUUAACUGAUAAGUGAUUGUUUAUUGAUUUACGUCCUGGUUAACUGCAACAACCCCAUCUCCCCCCGUGCAUGCUCUUCAUUUAAAACUUGGACUGGCAGGCUGGCUCAGUCCCAGCCCACCAGUCAGAGUUUUCAAUGAGGAGCAUGCAGGGGAGCCACCUGCCACCUUACACAGUGCAGGAUGGCAGCAGCUCCUGUC
This is a non-coding RNA of Pelodiscus sinensis (Chinese soft-shelled turtle), 1159 nucleotides long. The record is from RefSeq and is a predicted model, not a curated record. Lineage: Eukaryota; Metazoa; Chordata; Testudines; Trionychidae.